CCGCAGUACCCUAACUGUGCUAAGGUAGCAUAAUCCCCCGCCUUUUAAUUGAAGGCCAGUAUGAAUGGACAAACGAAAGUAAAGCUGUCUCUGUGUGCCCCCUAAAACCUUAUCUUUAGGUGAAAAAGCCUAAAUAUGAUUAAAAGACAAAAAGACCCCGUAGAACCUAACUUAACCCAGUGCCUAAAACAUUAAGUUCCACCCCGCUAUUAAAGUCCAGAUGGGGCGUCUAAGGGCCACCUAAACCACCCUUUACCUUAAAAAAUACACAUAUUUCGACCCGCACCUUGCGCCAAUAGAAAUCGGCUACCUCGGGGAUAACAGACUAAUCUUCCUUAAGAGCCCAAAUUGACAGGAAGGCUUGGCACCUCGAUGUUGGCUUAAGAGCCCUGGGGGUGCAGCCGCCCCCAAUGGCAGGUUUGUUCAACCUUUAAUCUCUUACGUGAUCU
This 449-nucleotide ribosomal RNA is filed under the name Levinsenia gracilis. RNAcentral's name for it is "partial 16S ribosomal RNA". It matches the Rfam family "Bacterial large subunit ribosomal RNA", at positions 1931 to 2606 of the family's 2925-position model. The record is from RNAcentral. Lineage: Eukaryota; Metazoa; Annelida; Polychaeta; Paraonidae.